RNAcentral lists this unclassified non-coding RNA (3791 nucleotides) under Leishmania donovani. RNAcentral describes it as "gene:LdHU3.36.7860(CDS-product:hypothetical_prote in_conserved)". Lineage: Eukaryota; Euglenozoa; Kinetoplastea; Trypanosomatida; Trypanosomatidae. The record is from RNAcentral.
GAUUGGCUCUUCUGGCUCGAAGCAAGAGAAACAGUACUCAGUGAGAUCCCACCCCUCCCAUUCAGGUGCCUAACGAGCGGCAUGUCCUCUUCGCUGCAAGACGCGUUUCCAGAUGGAGGCGGUGCGGUCUGCAGCACCUUCUUUAGCUCCGUCGACCUCUCUGAAAAGCUGUGGGCCGGCAUUGAACGGCUAGCGGAGGCAGAUGAUCUCACCUUCUGGAUCGUCGUGGCGAACCACGACCGCCUGCCGGUGGUGUUGGUGAACGUGAUCACCGCCGUAGACCACGCUCACAGUUCUCACUCAAGGGCGCAGCGAAAAGCUGUGCCGCCAAACGGAGAGCAGCGCGUCAUUGAGAUUCUCAUUCGCCUCGCGACCAGCACCGAUCUAUGCUUGCGCCGACAUGUCGACCCGGCAAGCCUAGCAACGCGGCUGAGUGUGCUCCUGCCGUGGAAGGUGCUCUUUCCCGUGUCGCUGCUGCUGCUCCGCCACAGCGGCGCUGCCGCCUCCGUCACCGUCACCUCCCUGAUCCUUCUCAACCCUGGCUACCUCUGCACGCUCAACACGUUCAUGACAACGUGGUGGGACGGCGUCAACCGAUUUUCCGUGCGGUGCGCGCGUGAGCUGCAGCGCGGCCGCUUCCAGCGCCAGCCAGGCGACAUCCUCUCCUCUUUUGAGCAGGUGUAUCGCAUCACCAAGCAGCUCUGGGCUGCGGUGCAGUGCGCCCCCUUCCUCUCAGACUACAUGUCCUUGCCGCGGACGCUGCGGGCGCUGCGCGUCAUUGUCGACGUUCUCUCGCCCGUUCUGCAGCAUUUCAUCAUGGUCUGCGAUGAGCUCACGCCGCGGCGGCCAAUCCUGAGUCGUGCGAACUCCGUUAUCGUAAAUGCCGCGAUCAACACAUCGUCGGCGUUGCUCUUGUAUCACACCUACGCCGUACAGGGGCCGCAUCGGCGGCAGGACGCGGACGGCUUUUGCGUUCCACAGCUGAUCAACCGCACCUACAGUCACUUGCGUGAGUAUCUGCGUCAACACGGGCGAGGCUUUAUUGAGGAAACGCUGCAGGCAUACGGCAACGGGUCGCUCUUGGGCCUCAUUCACUACUUGUACCCCCCAGCCCGCUUCGCGGACGACGCCGGCGAGAAGGCGCUUGGGCAGUUAAUGCUGACGCUCACGAAAGACAUUUCGGACAGCAACGACUUUGCCGAGGCCGUUCACGGCUCCCGGCAGCGAUUCUUUGAGCUCCUGCUGCUCGAGGUCGUGCGUCAGGGUGUGCACAUCGAUGAUCUUCUCGCGCGCCACCUCGUGACGACCGAAGAGGCGUCAAAGCUGGGCGCCUCGGAGGGCACUCUGACGAACGCGCUGGCCGGCCUCCCGGCAAGCAACGCCGUCGCUGAAGCCGCCCUUGCGGACCCUAGCCCGGCGCCGACGUCUCCAUCACCGGCGCCCGCCGCAACAGACAUUGUCGACGAUCCUCUCGUUGCUAUGGUCAUGGAGGUGUUCCCGCAGUUCAGCGCUGGUGGCGUUCGCACCGCCUUGAACUUCUACAGCAACGACGUGGAGCAAUUCAUCAUGGAUGCGAGUGUGGAGAACUUGCCACCGCACCUCGUCGGGCCUUUGACAGCGUCUGCGCAGUCCGACGCGGAGCUGGCGGCAGCACUAGCGGCACAUGAGGCCGGGGUCGAGGACGCUGCUGCCCCCGCUACCAGCAUCCACGCAGCAGAGUCGCCGGCGACUCGCGCCGACGCCUCGGCGCACUUGGCCUUAUACGAUUUUGAUGAUAACUUUGAUCCUGACGCGCUCUAUCGCCUUAUGGGUCGUGAUCUGUACGAGAUGCUGGCAGACUCGGACGGUGACGCCGGCUACGCCGACGGCGGCGCGAACGAUGACGAGGUGGAGGAUGAGACGGCGUACAACAUCACCAUGAACGACCCUCAGUCUUACAUGUCGGACGCCUUCGACAUUGACGAGGAGAUGAAGAUGAAGAUUCGGGUGCUGAACGAGAUCAUGUACGAAGAUGAACUGGACGACGGCCAGCAAGAUGUUCACCUGGCAGGCGGGGACAUUAUCGACGAUGCCUCCGACAGCGACGGUGACGACAAUGGCGGUGGCGGGCGACGAGGACGUGAGCGUCGUCGUGGCGGUGGAGGUGUCGACGGCUACGCUCCCGGGUACCUGGACACGGAGACAUGGGCGGCCGUUGAGGGCCAAGAGCGGGCCGCUGCAAGCGCAGCUUCACCCCCGCAGCAACGGGCACCUCGCGACGAGUACCACGACAAGCGCUACCAUGAGAAGCGCUCGAAAGAUCGCUUGGCGCGCACCAAGCAAAUCCAGUCAGAGCGGAAUGAGCGGGUGCCUGCGUACGCCAACAAGAAGAAGACGUCGAAGGCAAAGGCCGGGGGAUCGAAGGGCUCUCUGCAGCGCGCCGUGAGGCGGGGCAAGUUCACGGCCGACGCCUGACACAUGCACGUGCGUUGAUGGUGGCUGACCAUCUCUGGAUGGCGACAGGGCACAGUCAUCAUUCUUGGUGUCCGCAGACAGGGCUGUGUUCACUCUGUGUCGGAGAGACAUGCGGUCAUCACACCGUUUGGGCCACCUCGCUACCCAUCGUGUCGACGAUACAAAACACGUAAGCGCGCUCUAAGCUCUCUGUGCGCAGAUACAUGCUUGUCUGUUGGCCCCUGCUGCCGCAGACCCAUGGCAGCGCCCCCCCCCGUCGCGGCGCAUGUGGGCCAACCCAUCCCGACUCGCCGCCACGGCAUCGACGGAGAUGGAAGAGGAUGCCCGCCACCCGGACAGCUGCGUCGUGCCCUGAGGCAGGCCACAGGAUCUCGAAAAGGCGAGAGCGCACGGUGCGCAGGCGCUGCCAUGCACAGCUGGCAUGGGUGUGCCGCAUCCAUGCAAGGCGUGCGGUUGUCCGAUGCGCAAGAGUGAUGGGCGAAAAAGGGCGCGAAGGGCACCAUACGAAUCGACGCCAGGGCGCAUGUGUGCGCAGAGCAUGCGGCGUCUCCUGCGUCCGACGCGGUGGGCUGAUAUGAGGGCACGGGUGCCGGAAGCAUGGCAUACGGCCGGGUUGCAGAGGCUCUGAAGGGCUCUCACCGGAGGCUGGCCGACUUGUUCCUCGAGCUCAUUCGGCACGCGUCUGGCCCACCACCACCACCACCACCCCUGCUACCCUGCAGGGCGGCUCGUUCUCGGCGACCAGGAGAUGUCGCCGCCGUGCGGCCAGAGGGUUGGGGCGCUGUGGUUGCGGAGGCGUGUACGCGCUGUUGCAGACGUGUUUGUGGUGGGAUGGGCACGCUUUGAAAGAACCAAAAGGGAAAGCCACGGACGUGUAUUACCGCCUUGUUGAUGUGGGCGAAGUGUCUGCAUGCGGGAGUGAGGGGAGACAGAGUUGGAUAUAUUAGGGAAGCUCACAGACGUUGGGGCUCGGUGUGUUUGCCCUCUCCCGGUGAUGGAUAGAGACGAUUGGAGGCGUAUCGCUGUGCUUCUGUGGCAAACUUGUCCGGUGCACUGGCCGACGAGACUAGCUUCUCAGAGCGAGCAACUGCGCAUGAGGGGCGAUCCGAGGUGUCCUUCUGCAUAUCACCCAUCCACACCUUGCUUCGCAUCCGCACUCGAACGUAAAGACGGAGAAGAGGCUUAAUGCUUGAUAACGUGGGUGUUCGCACACAUCGCCGUGUGCACGCGGCCGUGUGUGUCUGUGUGUGUGUGUGUGUGUGUGUGUGUGUGUCUUGGCUGUUUGCGACUGCGGCAGCAAAGACACUAUCAUGCGACGGGAAGAGGCACUUCGCGCU